UUAAAUUAUUAUAUUGAUCUGUUAUAGUCAUGAUUAUUCAAUACUACUAUAAUUAAAUUAUUAUAUUGAUCUGUUAUAUUCAUGAUUAUUCAAUACUACCAUAAUUAAAUUAUUAUAUAGAUCUGUUAUAGUCAUGAUUAUUCAAUACUACCAUAAUUAUAUUAUUCUAUUGAUAUUGUUGGACUGUACAGUACAGUGAGAGACUAUUGUUUGUGGAUACUGUACUUUAUAAAGACGAAGCUGAGAACACUGCUGCUACCUGACGGUGACUGUAACAUUAGGUCUGUACGGUGCCCAUAUUAGGACACUGUCAGUCUCAGCAGGCGUUAUUAGGUCCUGGUAAGACUGAGGAUGUCCUAAUACAGACACCAUAGGUGUGUUAUUUAAUGAUGGUCUGCAUUCCAAAUGGCACCUUGUUCCCUUUGUAGCUGUACUAUUGUUGACCAAGGCCUAUGGUGUUGACCAGGGAUUAUGGUGUUGACCAGGAAUUAUGGUGUUGACCAGGGCCUAUGGUGUUGACCAGGGAUUAUGGUGUAGACCAGGGCCUAUGGUGUUGACCAGGGCCUAUGGUGUUGACCAGGGAUUAUGGUGUUGAACAGGGCCCUAUGGUGUUGACCAGGAUUUAUGGUGUUGACCAGGUCUUAUGGCUGCUGGUGUUGACCAGGUCUUAUGGCUGCUGGUAUUGACCAGGUCUUAUGGCUGCUGGUGUUGACUAGGUCUUAUGGCUGCUGGUGUUGACCAGGUCUUAUGGCUGCUGGUAUUGACCAGGUCUUGUGGCUGCUGGUGUUGACCAGGUCCUAUGGCUGCUGGUAUUGACCAGGUCUUAUGGCUGCUGGUAUUGACCAGGUCCUAUGGCUGCUGGUGUUGACCAGGUCCUAUGGCUGCUGGUGAACAUAGUGCACUAUAGGGGGAACAAGCUGCCAUUUGGAACACAGCCUGGUCUUCCUCUUGAAGACCUUUCUAGCUGUGUUGAUUCGUUCUGUUGUUUGUGCACAGAAAGGGAAUUAAAUACAACAAGGGCACGUUUUUGUUAUUUUUCAACACAAUAUAUUUUGCACUGAGACACAAAAAUGUUAUAAUAGAUGCGUGUAUAAAGCCUCACCGGUGCCACAUUGUCCAAAUGUGUAAAAUAUUGUUGUACUGUGGAAUGUUAAUAGUCUUUUGGAUUGCAAUGUAUCGCCUUUACACACAGUCUGCUGGUUGUCAACACUACAGGCCAUAAAGCCUAAAGAGGGGCAGCUGACUGCCAUAGAAUUACAGGCCAUAAAGCCUAAAGAGGGGAAGCUGACUGCCAUAGAUCUGUAGUAAGGCCAUAGAGGGGAAGCUGACUGACAUAGAUCUGUAGUAAGUUCAUAGAGGGGAAGCUGCCUGCCAUAGAAUUACAGGCCAUAAAGCCUAAAGAGGGGAAGCUGACUGACAUAGAUCUGUGGUAAGGCCAUAGAAGUGAAGCUGACUGACAUAGAUCUGUGGUAAGGCCAUAGAGGGGAAGCUGCCUGACAUAGAUCUGUAGUAAGGCCAUAGAGUAGAGGGGAAGCUGCUUGCCAUAGAUCUGUAGUAAGGCCAUAGAGGGGAAGCUGACUGCCAUAGAUCUGUAGUAAGGCCAUAGAGGGGAAGCUGCCUGACAUAGAUCUGUAGUAAGGCCAUAGAGGGGAAGCUGCCUGCCAUAGAUCUGUGGUAAGGCCAUAGAUGGGCGGCUGAUUGUAUAAAACUACAGUACGGCCAUAGAGCUAUAGGCCACAUACAGAGAACAGACAGUACAGGCCAUAAUAUACAGAAGAGCAAUUGAUUGUUUGUUGCUACGUGAAUGCCGUAGAGGUAUGGUAUGGCCGUAUAAAGGGGCAGAUGAAUGCUUGUAGCUACGUGAAUGCCGUAGAGCUAUGGUAUGGCCGUAUAAAGGAGCAGCUGAAUGCUUGUAGCUACGUGAAUGCCGUAGAGCUAUGGUAUGGCCGUAUAAAGGAGCAGCUGAAUGCUUGUAAAUGUAGCUACAGUAUAGCCAUGAAUAUUGCUACAGUUAGAGUUUAGGCCAUAGAGUUACAGUAAUGCUAGAUAUGUUCUGUCCAUUAGAGGCCAAAAGGUUUACUCCAGAGAUAGAGUAUUGACCAUACUUACAGAGAGAGGCAGCUGAAAGCUACAGAAGGCCAAAAGGUUUACUCCAGAGAUAGAGUAUUGACCAUACUUACAGAGAGAGGCAGCUGAAAGCUACAGAAGGCCAAAAGGUUUACUCCAGAGAUAGAGUAUUGACCAUACUUACAGACAGAGGCAGCUGAAAGCUACAGAAGGUCAAAAGGUUUACUCCAGAGACAUCACAAUAAGACCUCAAACCUCCUGUUGUUACAGUCAGGACCUGUUCUACACUGGAACAGAGAAUUCACUAUAAAUAAAUGUUUCUUUUUUUUCUGUACUCAAUGACGUGUUUAUUUGUUUCUGUGUCUCUUAAUGUGGAAUGAGUGGUGAAGUGGAAAACCAGACAUUAUGUUUCAGUAGCUGGUAUAAUGGAAGUCAGCAGUCACCAGUCAUCAACACAGAAGAGAAGAGGCAAGGGGGGGAGAGGAGGUUGAGAGGAUGAGAAGAGAGGGGGAAGAGAGGAGGAGAGGAGGUUGAGAGGAGGUUGAGAGGAGAGGAGAGAGGGGUAGCAGAGGAGAGGGGAAGAGAAGAGGA
RNAcentral lists this long non-coding RNA (2658 nucleotides) under Salmo salar (Atlantic salmon). RNAcentral's name for it is "lncRNA (ENSSSAG00000104464.1)". Lineage: Eukaryota; Metazoa; Chordata; Actinopteri; Salmoniformes; Salmonidae. The record is from RNAcentral.